RNAcentral lists this ribosomal RNA (1947 nucleotides) under human gut metagenome. Its description in RNAcentral is "bacterial LSU rRNA". It matches the Rfam family "Bacterial large subunit ribosomal RNA", at positions 3 to 1974 of the family's 2925-position model. The record is from RNAcentral.
UCAAGCUACAAAGAGCGUAAGGGGAAUGCCUUGGCACCAGGAGCCGACGAAGGACGCAGCAAUCUGCGAAAAGCUAUGGGUAGGCGAAAGCAGCCAAUGAUCCAUAGAUAUCCGAAUGGGGAAACCCGGCUGACUGAAGGUCAGUCAACGUGCGUUGAAUAAAAUAGGCGUACGUGGGGAACCGCCUGAACUGAAACAUCUAAGUAGGGCGAGGAAAAGAAAUCAACCGAGAUUCCGUAAGUAGUGGCGAGCGAACGCGGAGGAGGCUAAACCGGGAGUAGUAAUAUUCCCGGGGUAUGGACUUAGAGAUGGUACGGAUGAUUCAUAGUCGAAGGGCAUGGGACGGCCCACCAUAGAGAGUGAGAGUCUCGUAGACGAAAUGAAGCAACGGCCUAUAAGAAUCCUAAGUACCGCCGGACACGUGAAACCCGGUGGGAAUACGGGGGGACCACCCUCCAAGCCUAAAUACUCCCUGGUGACCGAUAGCGAAUAGUACUGUGAAGGAAAGGUGAAAAGAACCCCGGGAGGGGAGUGAAAAGAACCUGAAACCUUAUGCUUACAAGCACAUAAAGCACGUCAACGUGUGAUAUGGUACCUUUUGUAGAAUGGUCCGGCGAGUGAAUGUAACCGGCAAGGUUAAGCUCUUAAGGAGUGAAGCCGAAGCGAAAGCAAGUCUGAAAUGGGCGUUGAGUCGGUUGUAUUCGACCCGAAACCGGGUGACCUAGCCAUGUCCAGGCUGAAGUGAAGGUAAAACUUCAUGGAGGGCCGAACCCACUCCCGUUGAAAUGGUAGGGGAUGAGGUGUGGCUAGCGGAGAAAUUCCAAUCGAACCCGGAGAUAGCUGGUUCUCUCCGAAAUAGCUUUAGGGCUAGCCUCGAUUUGACAUUACCGGAGGUAGAGCACUGAAUAGGCUAGGGGCCGAGAGGUUACUGAACCUUAUCAAACUCCGAAUGCCGGAUAAUGAUGAUCGGGAGUCAGACUGCGGGAGAUAAGUUUCGUAGUCAAAAGGGAAACAGCCCAGACCCACAGCUAAGGUCCCGAAGUACAGUUAAGUGGAAAAGGAUGUGGGGUUGCAUAGACAACCAGGAUGUUGGCUUAGAAGCAGCCACUCAUUAAAAGAGUGCGUAAUAGCUCACUAGUCGAGAGAUCCUGCGCCGAAGAUGUUCGGGGCUAAAACUUACCACCGAAGCUACGGGCUUGAAUUUAUUCAAGCGGUAGAGGAGCGUCGUAAUCGGGCUGAAGUCAUACCGUAAGGAGUGGUGGACUGAUUACGAGUGAGAAUGUUGGCAUUAGUAGCGAGAUGUAGGUGAGAAUCCUACAGGCCGAAUACCUAAGGUUUCCUCAGGAAGGCUCGUCCGCUGAGGGUUAGUCGGGACCUAAGCCGAGGCCGAAAGGCGUAGGUGAUGGACAACUGGUUGAUAUUCCAGUACCACUACCAUCGUUAUUAUCGAUGGCGUGACGCAGGAGGAUAGUGUGUGCUAGCUAUUGGAUGCUAGUCUAAGCAUUUAGUCAGUUACAAUAGGCAAAUCCGUUGUAAUAAUGAUGAGAUGUUAUGGGGAAGGUUCUACGGAACCGAAGUACAUGAUUCCACGCUGCCAAGAAAAGCGUCUAGAGAGAGAAGUAGUGCCCGUACCGCAAACCGACACAGGUAGGUGAGGAGAGAAUCCUAAGGCCGGCGGAAGAAUUGCAGUUAAGGAACUCGGCAAAUUGAUCCCGUAAGUUAGCAAUAAGGGAUGCCUAUGAGAGUAGGCCGCAGAGAAUAGGCUCAAGCAACUGUUUAGCAAAAACACAGGUCUCUGCUAAAGCGUAAGCUGAUGUAUAGGGGCUGACGCCUGCCCGGUGCUGGAAGGUUAAGGGGAACACUUAGCGUAAGCGAAGGUGUGAACUUAAGCCCCAGUAAACGGCGGCCGUAACUAUAACGGUCCUAAGGUAGCGAAAUUCCUUGUCA